Molecule: ribosomal RNA, 497 nt
Filed under: uncultured bacterium
Lineage: Bacteria
Description: partial 16S ribosomal RNA
Rfam family: Bacterial small subunit ribosomal RNA
Source: RNAcentral
GAUGAACGCUGGCGGCGUGCCUAAUACAUGCAAGUCGAGCGAACAGAUUAGGAUCUUGCUCCUCGGACGUUAGCGGCGGACGGGUGAGUAACACGUUGAUAACCUAUCUAUAAGACUGGGAUAACUUCGUGAAACCUGAGCUAAUACCGGAUAAUAUAUUGAACCGCAUGGUUCAAUAGUGAAAGACGGUUUUGCUGUCACUUUUACAUGUAACCGCGCCGGAUUAGCUAGUUGGGAAGGUAAGGGUUUUCCAAGGCAACGAUGCUUAGCCAUCCUGAGAGGGUGAUCGGCCACCUUGGAACUGAGAAACGGUCCAGACUCCUACGGGAGGACACAGUAGGGAAUCUUCCGCAAUGGGCGAAAGCCUGACGGAGCAACGCCGCGUGAGUGAUGAAGGUCUUAGGAUCGUAAAACUCUGUUAGUAGGGAAGAACAAAUGUGUAAGUAACUAUGAACGUCUUGACGGUACCUAAUCAGAAAGCCACGGCUAACUACGUG